UACGGAGGGUGCAAGCGUUAAUCGGAAUUACUGGGCGUAAAGCGCACGCAGGCGGUCUGUUAAGUCAGAUGUGAAAUCCCCGGGCUUAACCUGGGAACUGCAUUUGAAACUGGCAGGCUUGAGUCUUGUAGAGGGGGGGUAGAAUUCCAGGUGUAGCGGUGAAAUGCGUAGAGAUCUGGAGGAACACCGGUGGCGAAGGCGGGUCUCUGGGCCGAUACUGACGCUGAGACGCGAAAGCGUGGGGAGCAAACAGGAUUGAGAUAC
Molecule: ribosomal RNA, 264 nt
Filed under: uncultured bacterium
Lineage: Bacteria
Description: partial 16S ribosomal RNA
Rfam family: Bacterial small subunit ribosomal RNA
Source: RNAcentral